CUCCUACGGGAGGCAGCAGUGAGGAAUAUUGGUCAAUGGACGAGAGUCUGAACCAGCCAAGUCGCGUGAAGGAAGACGGAUCUAUGGUUUGUAAACUUCUUUAGUGCGGGAACAAAGCGGCGUCGUGACGCCGGAUGAGUGUACCGCAAGAAUAAGCAUCGGCUAACUCCGUGCCAGCAGCCGCGGUAAUACGGAGGAUGCGAGCGUUAUCCGGAUUUAUUGGGUUUAAAGGGAGCGCAGGCUGCGAGGCAAGUCAGCGGUCAAAUGUCGGGGCUCAACCCCGGCCUGCCGUUGAAACUGUCUUGCUAGAGUUCGAGUGAGGUAUGCGGAAUGCGUUGUGUAGCGGUGAAAUGCAUAGAUAUGACGCAGAACUCCGAUUGCGAAGGCAGCAUACCAACUCGCGACUGACGCUGAGGCUCGAAAGCGUGGGUAUCGAACAGGAUUAGAUACCCUGGUAGUCCACGCAGUAAACGAUGAAUACUAACUGUUCGGAGGGCGACCUCUGAGUGGUAAAGCGAAAGCGUUAAGUAUUCCACCUGGGGAGUACGCCGGCAACGGUGAAACUCAAAGGAAUUGACGGGGGCCCGCACAAGCGGAGGAACAUGUGGUUUAAUUCGAUGAUACGCGAGGAACCUUACCCGGGCUCAAACGUCGGGCGAACCAUCCUGAAAGGGGUGGGCCAGCAAUGGCGGCCGACGAGGUGCUGCAUGGUUGUCGUCAGCUCGUGCCGUGAGGUGUCGGCUUAAGUGCCAUAACGAGCGCAACCCCCGCGUCCAGUUGCCAGCGAGUAGAGUCGGGCACUCUGGACGGACUGCCGGCGCAAGCCGCGAGGAAGGCGGGGAUGACGUCAAAUCAGCACGGCCCUUACGUCCGGGGCGACACACGUGUUACAAUGGCGUGGAACAGAGGGAAGCCACCUGGCGACAGGGAGCGGAACCCGAAAACACGUCUCAGUUCGGAUUGGAGUCUGCAACUCGACUCCAUGAAGCUGGAUUCGCUAGUAAUCGCGCAUCAGCCAUGGCGCGGUGAAUACGUUCCCGGGCCUUGUACACACCGC
This 1057-nucleotide ribosomal RNA is filed under the name uncultured bacterium. RNAcentral describes it as "bacterial SSU rRNA". It matches the Rfam family "Bacterial small subunit ribosomal RNA", at positions 336 to 1393 of the family's 1533-position model. The record is from RNAcentral.